Molecule: ribosomal RNA, 390 nt
Filed under: uncultured bacterium
Lineage: Bacteria
Description: bacterial SSU rRNA
Rfam family: Bacterial small subunit ribosomal RNA
Source: RNAcentral
GACGAACGCUGGCGGCGUGCUUAACACAUGCAAGUCGAACGGAAAGGCCCUGCUUGCAGGGUACUCGAGUGGCGAACGGGUGAGUAACACGUGGGUGAUCUGCCCUGCACUUCGGGAUAAGCCUGGGAAACUGGGUCUAAUACCGGAUAGGAGCCAUUUUUAGUGUGAUGGUCGGAAAGUUUUUUCGGUGUAGGAUGAGCUCGCGGCCUAUCAGCUUGUUGGUGGGGUAAUGGCCUACCAAGGCGGCGACGGGUAGCCGGCCUGAGAGGGUGGACGGCCACAUUGGGACUGAGAUACGGCCCAGACUCCUACGGGAGGCAGCAGUGGGGAAUAUUGCACAAUGGGCGCAAGCCUGAUGCAGCGACGCCGCGUGGGGGAUGACGGCCUCGG